This 206-nucleotide ribosomal RNA is filed under the name uncultured bacterium. Its description in RNAcentral is "partial 16S ribosomal RNA". It matches the Rfam family "Bacterial small subunit ribosomal RNA", at positions 568 to 774 of the family's 1533-position model. The record is from RNAcentral.
CUCGUAGGCGGUUUGUCACGUCUGCUGUGAAAUCCCGAGGCUCAACCUCGGGCCUGCAGUGGGUACGGGCAGACUGGAGUGCGGUAGGGGAGAAUGGAAUUCCUGGUGUAGCGGUGGAAUGCGCAGAUAUCAGGAGGAACACCGAUGGCGAAGGCAGUUCUCUGGGCCGUAACUGACGCUGAGGAGCGAAAGCGUGGGAGCGAACA